ACAUAUGUUCAAAUCACCCUGAAUGUGCCUGACCUCAUGGGAUCAUGAAAGAGUCAAGCAGGCCUGAACCUGGAUAGUACUUGAAUGUGUGACCACCAGGGCUUGCCAAAUGUUGUAGGCU
RNAcentral lists this ribosomal RNA (121 nucleotides) under Petromyzon marinus (sea lamprey). Lineage: Eukaryota; Metazoa; Chordata; Hyperoartia; Petromyzontiformes; Petromyzontidae. The record is from RNAcentral.